GGAGUACCGGUCGCAAGAUUANAACUNAAAGGAAUNGACGGGGAUCCCGCACAAGCGCUGGAUGGAUGUGGACUAANUCGAUGCAACGCGNNAAAACCNUACCUACCCCUUGACAUGUCAGGAAGUCCCGCUGAGAGGUGGANGUGCCCGAAAGGGAACCUGAACACAGGUGCUGCAUGCCUGUCGUCAGCCUCGNGUCGUGAGAUGUUGGGUUAAGUCCCCGCAACGAGCGCAACCCUUGUCAUUAGUUGCUACAUUCAGUUGGGCACUCUAAUGAGACUGCCGGUGACAAACCGGAGGAAGGUGGGGAUGACGUCAAGUCCUCAUGGCCCUUAUGGGUAGGGCCUCACACGUCAUACAAUGGCGCAUACAGAGGGUUGCCAACCCGCGAGGGGGAGCCAAUCCCAGAAAGUGCGUCGUAGUCCGGAUUGGAGUCUGCAACUCGACUCCAUGAAGUCGGAAUCGCUAGUAAUCGCGGAUCAGCAUGUCGCGGUGAAUACGUUCCCGGGUCUUGUACACACCGCCCGUCACACCAUGGGAGCGGGUUUCACCAGAAGUAGCUAGCCUAACCUGCGAAGGGGGGCGGUUACCACGGUGAGAUUCGUGACUGGGGUGAAGUCGUAANCAAGGUACC
This 634-nucleotide ribosomal RNA is filed under the name uncultured bacterium. RNAcentral's name for it is "bacterial SSU rRNA". It matches the Rfam family "Bacterial small subunit ribosomal RNA", at positions 877 to 1500 of the family's 1533-position model. The record is from RNAcentral.